CACGUAGGGUCCGAGCGUUGUCCGGAAUUACUGGGCGUAAAGCGCGCGCAGGCGGUUAGUCGCAUCGGCGGUGAAAGCCCCCCGCUUAACGGGGGAGGGUCCGUCGAGAUGGACUGACUGGAGGCAGGGAGAGGGCGGUGGAAUUCCGGGUGUAGUGGUGAAAUGCGUAGAGAUCCGGAGGAACACCAGUGGCGAAGGCGGCCAACUGGUCCGGCACUGACGCUGAGGUGCGAAAGCGUGGGGAGCAAACAGG
RNAcentral lists this ribosomal RNA (253 nucleotides) under uncultured bacterium. RNAcentral's name for it is "partial 16S ribosomal RNA". It matches the Rfam family "Bacterial small subunit ribosomal RNA", at positions 524 to 776 of the family's 1533-position model. The record is from RNAcentral.